GACGAACGCUGGCGGCGUGCCUAAUACAUGCAAGUCGAACGCAGUGGGGACGGGUGAGUAACACGUGGGUAACCUCCCAUCAGAGGGGAUAACACUUGGAAACAGGUGCUAAACCGAUACUGAUGGAUGGACCCGCGGUGCAUUAGCUAGUUGGUGAGGUAACGGCUCACCAAGGCCACGAUGCAUAGCCGGACUGAGAGGGUGAUACGCCACACUGGAACUGAGACACGGCCCAGACGCCGUCGGGAGGCAGCAGGAGGGAAUCUUCGGCAAUGGAAGAAAGUCUGACCGAGCAACGCCGCGUGAGGGAAGAAGGUUUUCGGAUCGUAAAACUCUGUUGUUAGAGAAGCGGUAAUUAACCAGAAAGCCCCGGCUAACUACGUGCCAGCAGCCGCGGUAAUUC
This 403-nucleotide ribosomal RNA is filed under the name uncultured bacterium. RNAcentral's name for it is "partial 16S ribosomal RNA". It matches the Rfam family "Bacterial small subunit ribosomal RNA", at positions 28 to 526 of the family's 1533-position model. The record is from RNAcentral.